This 301-nucleotide ribosomal RNA is filed under the name uncultured bacterium. RNAcentral describes it as "partial 16S ribosomal RNA". It matches the Rfam family "Bacterial small subunit ribosomal RNA", at positions 509 to 807 of the family's 1533-position model. The record is from RNAcentral.
CAGUAGCCACGGUAAUACGUAGGGCGCAAGCGUUAUCCGGAAUUAUUGGGCGUAAAGAGCUCGUAGGCGGUUUGUCGCGUCUGCCGUGAAAGUCCGGGGCUCAACCCCGGAUCUGCGGUGGGUACGGGCAGACUAGAGUGAUGUAGGGGAGACUGGAAUUCCUGGUGUAGCGGUGAAAUGCGCAGAUAUCAGGAGGAACACCGAUGGCGAAGGCAGGUCUCUGGGCAUUAACUGACGCUGAGGAGCGAAAGCAUGGGGAGCGAACAGGAUUAGAGACCCCUGUAGUCCCUGUCUCUUAUAC